This 26-nucleotide ribosomal RNA is filed under the name Tylopilus sp. NC-6007. RNAcentral's name for it is "partial 28S ribosomal RNA". The record is from RNAcentral. Lineage: Eukaryota; Fungi; Basidiomycota; Agaricomycetes; Boletales; Boletaceae.
UUGACCUCGAAUAGGUAGGACUACCG